GAUGAACGCUAGCGACAGGCUUAACACAUGCAAGUCGAGGGGCAGCAUGGAGGUAGCAAUACUUCUGAUGGCGACCGGCGCACUGGUGAGUAACACGUAUGCAACCUGCCCCUGGUUGGGGGAUAACCCGCGGAAACGCGGCCUAAUACCCCGUAUGCGCCGAGGCCGCAUGACUUCGGCGUGAUAGAACUUCGUCCAGGGAUGGGCAUGCGGCGCAUUAGCUUGUUGGCGGGGCAACGGCCCACCAAGGCGACGAUGCGUAGGGGUUCUGAGAGGAAGGUCCCCCACACUGGUACUGAGACACGGACCAGACUCC
RNAcentral lists this ribosomal RNA (316 nucleotides) under uncultured Bacteroidales bacterium. RNAcentral describes it as "bacterial SSU rRNA". It matches the Rfam family "Bacterial small subunit ribosomal RNA", at positions 28 to 339 of the family's 1533-position model. Lineage: Bacteria; Pseudomonadati; Bacteroidota; Bacteroidia; Bacteroidales. The record is from RNAcentral.